UACGUAGGGUGCGAGCGUUAAUCGGAAUUACUGGGCGUAAAGCGUGCGCAGGCGGUUUUGUAAGCCCGAUGUGAAAUCCCCGGGCUUAACCUGGGAAUGGCAUUUGGGACUGCAAGGCUGGAGUGCGGCAGAGGAGACUGGAAUUCCCGGUGUAGCGGUGAAAUGCGUAGAUAUCGGGAGGAAUACCGAUGGCGAAGGCAGGUCUCUGGGCUGACACUGACGCUCAUGCACGAAAGCGUGGGGAGCAAACAGG
This 253-nucleotide ribosomal RNA is filed under the name uncultured bacterium. RNAcentral's name for it is "partial 16S ribosomal RNA". It matches the Rfam family "Bacterial small subunit ribosomal RNA", at positions 524 to 776 of the family's 1533-position model. The record is from RNAcentral.